CGUGCUUAACACAUGCAAAGUCGAACGAGAGGACGAUGGGGAGCUUGCUUCUAUGAAAUCGAGUGGCAAACGGGGUGAGUAACGCGUAAACAACCCUGCCCUUCGGAUGGGGAUACAGCCGGAAACGGCUGCUAAUACCGAAUACGAUCUUUUCGUCGCAUGACGAAAAGAAGAAAAGGAUGGCCUCUAUACAAAGCUAUCGCCGAAGGAGGGGUUUUGCGUCUGAUUAGCUGGUUGGAGGGGUAACGGCCCAACAAGGCGAUGAUCAGUAGCCGGUCUGAGAGGAUGAACGGCCACAUUGGGACUGAGACACGGCCCAGACUCCUACGGGAGGCAGCAGUGGGGAAUCUUCCGCAAUGGACGAAAGUCUGACGGAGCAACGCCGCGUGAGUGAAGAAGGUCUUCGGAUUGUAAAGCUCUGUUAUACGGGACGAAAAAGACGGAUGCCAACAGUAUCCGUCCGUGACGGUACCGUAAGAGAAAGCCACGGCUAACUACGUGCCAGCAGCCGCGGUAAU
Molecule: ribosomal RNA, 518 nt
Filed under: uncultured Megasphaera sp.
Lineage: Bacteria; Bacillati; Bacillota; Negativicutes; Veillonellales; Veillonellaceae
Description: bacterial SSU rRNA
Rfam family: Bacterial small subunit ribosomal RNA
Source: RNAcentral